GAUGAACGCUGGCGGCGUGCCUAAUACAUGCAAGUCGAGCGAACAGACGAGGAGCUUGCUCCUCUGACGUUAGCGGCGGACGGGUGAGUAUCACGUGGAUAACCUACCUAUAAGACUGGGAUAACUUCGGGAAACCGGAGCUAAUACCGGAUAAUAUAUUGAACCGCAUGGUUCAAUAGUGAAAGACGGUUUUGCUGUCACUUAUAGAUGGAUCCGCGCCGCAUUAGCUAGUUGGUAAGGUAACGGCUUACCAAGGCAACGAUGCGUAGCCGACCUGAGAGGGUGAUCGGCCACAAUGGAACUGAGACACGGUCCAGACUCCUACGGGAGGCAGCAGUAGGGAAUCUUCCGCAAUGGGCGAAAGCCUGACGGAGCAACGCCGCGUGAGUGAUGAAGGUCUUCGGAUCGUAAAACUCUGUUAUUAGGGAAGAACAAAUGUGUAAGUAACUAUGCACGUCUUGACGGUACCUAAUCAGAAAGCCACGGCUAACUACGUG
RNAcentral lists this ribosomal RNA (497 nucleotides) under uncultured bacterium. RNAcentral's name for it is "partial 16S ribosomal RNA". It matches the Rfam family "Bacterial small subunit ribosomal RNA", at positions 28 to 507 of the family's 1533-position model. The record is from RNAcentral.